This 356-nucleotide ribosomal RNA is filed under the name uncultured bacterium. Its description in RNAcentral is "bacterial SSU rRNA". It matches the Rfam family "Bacterial small subunit ribosomal RNA", at positions 29 to 409 of the family's 1533-position model. The record is from RNAcentral.
AGCGAACGCUGGCGGCAGGCUUAACACAUGCAAGUCGAACGGGCGUAGCAAUACGUCAGUGGCAGACGGGUGAGUAACGCGUGGGAACGUACCUUUUGGUUCGGAACAACCCAGGGAAACUUGGGCUAAUACCGGAUAAGCCCUUACGGGGAAAGAUUUAUCGCCGAAAGAUCGGCCCGCGUCUGAUUAGCUAGUUGGUGAGGUAACGGCUCACCAAGGCGACGAUCAGUAGCUGGUCUGAGAGGAUGAUCAGCCACAUUGGGACUGAGACACGGCCCAAACUCCUACGGGAGGCAGCAGGUGGGGAAUAUUGGACAAUGGGCGCAAGCCUGAUCCAGCCAUGCCGCGUGAGUGAU